GAGUUUGAUCCUGGCUCAGAUUGAACGCUGGCGGCAGGCCUAACACAUGCAAGUCGAACGGUAACAGGAAACAGCUUGCUGUUUCGCUGACGAGUGGCGGACGGGUGAGUAAUGUCUGGGAAACUGCCUGAUGGAGGGGGAUAACUACUGGAAACGGUAGCUAAUACCGCAUAACGUCGCAAGACCAAAGAGGGGGACCUUCGGGCCUCUUGCCAUCGGAUGUGCCCAGAUGGGAUUAGCUAGUAGGUGGGGUAACGGCUCACCUAGGCGACGAUCCCUAGCUGGUCUGAGAGGAUGACCAGCCACACUGGAACUGAGACACGGUCCAGACUCCUACGGGAGGCAGCAGUGGGAAUAUUGCACAAUGGGCGCAAGCCUGAUGCAGCCAUGCCGCGUGUAUGAAGAGGCCUUGGUGUAAGUACUUCGUAGCGGGAGGGAGGAGGUAAGUUAAGUAACUUUCGUACGUCUAUCGUACGUUACCCGUACCGAGAACG
This 494-nucleotide ribosomal RNA is filed under the name uncultured microorganism. RNAcentral's name for it is "bacterial SSU rRNA". It matches the Rfam family "Bacterial small subunit ribosomal RNA", at positions 9 to 486 of the family's 1533-position model. The record is from RNAcentral.